Molecule: small nucleolar RNA, 119 nt
Filed under: Dasypus novemcinctus (nine-banded armadillo)
Lineage: Eukaryota; Metazoa; Chordata; Mammalia; Cingulata; Dasypodidae
Description: Small nucleolar RNA SNORA27 (ENSDNOG00000026620.1)
Rfam family: Small nucleolar RNA SNORA27
About the family: ACA27 is a member of the H/ACA class of snoRNA that guide the sites of modification of uridines to pseudouridines.
Source: RNAcentral
UUCUCACUUUUCACAUAGCCAAUUGCACAUGUCUUUAUUGGUCAUUCAAGUGGAGCAAAGGAAACAUCGUUUUAAAACUCAGGUGAACUGUUUGUCUUAUAUCCUGUCAGGAAACAAAC